RNAcentral lists this ribosomal RNA (2896 nucleotides) under Muribaculaceae bacterium. RNAcentral describes it as "23S ribosomal RNA". It matches the Rfam family "Bacterial large subunit ribosomal RNA". The record is from RNAcentral. Lineage: Bacteria; Pseudomonadati; Bacteroidota; Bacteroidia; Bacteroidales; Muribaculaceae.
GACAAGGGCACAUAAAGGAUGCCUAGGCUCUCGCAGGCGAAGAAGGACGCGAUAAGCUGCGAAAAGCUGCGUUAAGGGGCAAAUACCCGUUAUAGGCGCAGAUAUCCGAAUGGGGCAACCCACCUUGCAAAAGGUAUCACGGCUAUAGCCGUGAAGCGAACCCGGUGAACUGAAACAUCUUAGUAGCCGGAGGAAAAGAAAACAAAAGUGAUUCCGCAAGUAGCGGCGAGCGAACGCGGAGGAGCCCAAACCACGGUUGUGGCAACGCAACACGUGGGGUUGUAGGAUCUUCAACGAACUUUUUAGACAGAGUUAGCCGAACGCCCCUGGAAAGGGCGGCCGUAGCGGGUGACAGCCCCGUAGGCGACAACUGUGUUUAAAGAGGAGAAGACACCUGAGUAGCGCAGGACACGAGAAAUCCGGCGUGAAUCAGCGGGGACCAUCCCGUAAGGCUAAACACUAGCGAGAGACCGAUAGCGAACAAGUACUGUGAAGGAAAGGUGAAAAGAACCUCGAACAGAGGAGUGAAAUAGACCCUGAAAUUAUGUGCCUACAAGCGGUCGGAGCCACUUUGUGUGGUGACGGCGUGCCUUUUGCAUAAUGAACCUACGAGUCACCCGUUCUGGCGAGGCUAAGUUCUGGAAGAAGGACGGAGCCGGAGCGAAAGCGAGUCGGAACACGGCGUUUUCUAGUCAGAGCGGGUGGACGCGAAACCAAGUGAUCUACCCUUGGGCAGGAUGAAGGCGGGGUAACACCCGCUGGAGGUCCGCACCGGUAAGCGUUGAAAAGCUUUCGGAUGACCUGAGGGUAGGAGUGAAAGGCCAAUCAAACUUGGAGAUAGCUCGUACUCCCCGAAAUGCAUUUAGGUGCAGCCUCGGGUACAGUACCGUGGAGGUAGAGCGACCGAUUGGAUGAGAGGGCUUCGCCGCCUAUCAAGUCCUGACGAACUCCGAAUGCCACGGCACGAUCCCCGGGAGUGAGGGCGCGGGUGCUAAGGUCCGCGUCCGAGAGAGGAACAACUCAGACCAUCGACUAAGGCCCCCAAAUCCGGGCUAAGUUGAAGACCAUAACGAGGUGGGAUUGCCUAGACAGCUAGGAUGUUGGCUUGGAAGCAGCCAUUCAUUUGAAGAGUGCGUAACAGCUCACUAGUCGAGUGAUCCCGCAUGGAUAAUAAUCGGGCAUAAGUCCGGUGCCGAAGUCGUGGAAUAUUUAGCAAUAGAUAUUGGUAGGGGAGCAUUCCGGUAGUCGCAGAAGAAGGCAUGUGAGUGUCUUUGGAGAUCCCGGAAAAGCAAAUGUAGGUAUAAGUAACGAUAAGGAGGGCGAGAAACCCUCCCGCCGUAAGACCCAGGAUUUCUGAUCAACGCUAAUCGGAUCAGAGUAAGUCGGGACCUAAGCAGGAGCCUUUGGGCGUAUGCGAUGGACAAAGGGUAAAUAAUCCCUUACCCGGCGAUGGGAGCGAAGCGGGGACGGAGAAGCGAAAAUCCCGCGCACUGACGGAAUAGUGCGUUAAACCGCAAAGGUGAUGAUCAGGGCAGUAAAGUACACCCUGAGAGCUGAAGCGGGACAGUACCGAGCGCCUUCGGGCAAUCGGAUAGCGGAUGGCAGCCGGCUCCCGAGAAAAGCCGCUAAGCGCCAAAGACCCAUUGCCGGCCCGUACCGUAAACGGACACACGUGGUCGGGUAGAAUAUACCAAGGCGCUCGAGAGAUUCACGGUUAAGGAACUAGGCAAAUUGACCCCGUAACUUAGGGAUAAGGGGUCCCGUCCUCCGGGACGGGCGCAGAGAAUAGGUCCAGGCAACUGUUUAACAAAAACACAGGGCUGUGCUAAGAUGAAAGUCGCAGUAUACAGCCUGACACCUGCCCGGUGCCGGAAGGUUAAGAGGAGAAGUCAUCGCAAGAGAAGCUUUGAAUUGAAGCCCCGGUAAACGGCGGCCGUAACUAUAACGGUCCUAAGGUAGCGAAAUUCCUUGUCGGGUAAGUUCCGACCUGCACGAAUGGUGUAAUGAUCUGGACACUGUCUCAACCGUGAGCUCGGUGAAAUUGUAGUAUCGGUGAAGAUGCCGAUUACCCGCAACGGGACGGAAAGACCCCGUGAACCUUUACUGCAACUUAGCAUUGGGACUGGGUUUUCGAUGUGUAGGAUAGCCGGGAGACAUUGAAUCGGCCACGCCAGUGGUCGUGGAGUCGUCCUUGAAAUACCGGCCUUCGGACAUCUGGUCUCUAACGCGCUAAGCGCGGACACUGCUUGGUGGGUAGUUUGACUGGGGUGGUCGCCUCCAAAAGAGUAACGGAGGCUUCUAAAGGUGCGCUCAGACCGAUUGGUAACCGGUCGGAGAGUGUAAUGGCACAAGCGCGCUUGACUGGGAGACCGACAAGUCGAUCAGGUAGGAAACUAGAGCAUAGUGAUCCGGUGGUUCCGCAUGGAAGGGCCAUCGCUCAAAGGAUAAAAGGUACUCCGGGGAUAACAGGCUGAUCCCUCCCAAGAGCUCAUAUCGACGGAGUGGUUUGGCACCUCGAUGUCGGCUCGUCACAUCCCGGGGCUGGAGAAGGUCCCAAGGGUUAGGCUGUUCGCCUAUUAAAGUGGCACGCGAGCUGGGUUCAGAACGUCGUGAGACAGUUCGGUCCCUAUCUGUUGUGGGCGUAGGAGAUUUGCGAGGACCCGACACUAGUACGAGAGGACCGUGUUGGACAGACCACCGGUGAGCCGGUUGUACCGCCAGGUGCACCGCCGGGUAGCCGCGUCUGGCCAGGAUAAGUGCUGAAAGCAUCUAAGCACGAAGCCUACCUCAAGAUAAGAUCUCCAUAUAGGGCCGUCAGAGACGAUGACGUAGAUAGGUCGCAGGUGCAGGGGCUGCAAGGUCCACAGCCGAGCGAUACUAAUCGCCCGAACCCUUU